CCUCACACUGCUGUCUGCUUCCUCAGCUCUAGCACCUACUUCUUGGAAGGUAGCCAUAUGGGGCCCAGCAGAUGGAAUACAGGCCUUUUACUGGUCAUGACCUGCUGGCCUUGACUUCACUACCAAGAUCCACACUGACAAGCCUGCUUAGACCAGUGCUCCUAAGUGUUCCUGUCUUGAUGGAUUAGCUUGGCCAGGACAAGUUUACACAUCACUGGAGAAGUGUGAAGAGGGAGUGCGGAUGGAAAAAAAAUAGAGACACAAGAAGAGGUUUAUAAUGUUUGAAAUUAGGCAGCCCAGCCCGGAACUUUCCAUAAAAACUUUCUCCUG
This 330-nucleotide long non-coding RNA is filed under the name Cricetulus griseus (Chinese hamster). Its description in RNAcentral is "lncRNA (ENSCGRG00015035984.1)". The record is from RNAcentral. Lineage: Eukaryota; Metazoa; Chordata; Mammalia; Rodentia; Cricetidae.